UACGGAGGGCGCGAGCGUUAAUCGGAUUUAUUGGGUGUAAAGGGCGUCUAGGCGGGAAUGAAAGUCAGAUGUGAAAUCUCGGGGCUCAACUCCGAAGGUGCAUUUGAAACUUCAUUUCUUGAGGAUAGAUGGGGAAAGCAGAAUUCCACAAGUAGCGGUGAAAUGCGUAGAUAUGUGGAAGAAUACCGGUGGCGAAGGCGGCUUUCUAAUUUAUUCCUGACGCUGAAGCGCGAAAGCGAGGGGAUCAAACAGG
Molecule: unclassified non-coding RNA, 253 nt
Filed under: uncultured Chlamydiales bacterium
Lineage: Bacteria; Pseudomonadati; Chlamydiota; Chlamydiia; Chlamydiales
Description: contains 16S-23S intergenic spacer region
Rfam family: Bacterial small subunit ribosomal RNA
Source: RNAcentral